This 29-nucleotide small RNA is filed under the name Pongo abelii (Sumatran orangutan). RNAcentral describes it as "retained intron". The record is from RNAcentral. Lineage: Eukaryota; Metazoa; Chordata; Mammalia; Primates; Hominidae.
CAGAGAAGGCCUUGAAAGUUGAAAGUGAG